GAUGAACGCUGGCGGCGUGCCUAAUACAUGCAAGUCGAGCGAACAGACGAGGAGCUUGCUCCUCUGACGUUAGCGGCGGACGGGUGAGUAACACGUGUAUAACCUACCUAUAAGACUGGGAUAACUUCGGGAAACCGGCGCUAAUACCGGAUAAUAUAUUGAACCGCAUGGUUCAAUAGUGAAAGACGGUUUUGCUGUCACUUAUCGAUGGAUCCGCGCCGCAUUAGCUAGUUGGUAAGGUAACGGCUUACCAAGGCGACGAUGCGUAGCCGACCUGAGAGGGUGAUCGGCCACAUUGGAGCUGAGACACGGUCCAGACUCCUACGGGAGGCAGCAGUAGGGAAUCUUCCGCAAUGGGCGAAAGCCUGACGGAGCAACGCCGCGUGAGUGAUGAAGGUCUUCGGAGCGUAAAACUCUGUUAUUAGGGAAGAACAAAUGUGUAAGUAACUAUGCACGUCUUGACGGUACCUAAUCAGAAAGCCACGGCUAACUACGUG
RNAcentral lists this ribosomal RNA (497 nucleotides) under uncultured bacterium. RNAcentral describes it as "partial 16S ribosomal RNA". It matches the Rfam family "Bacterial small subunit ribosomal RNA", at positions 28 to 507 of the family's 1533-position model. The record is from RNAcentral.